GAUGAACGCUGGCGGCGUGCCUAAUACAUGCAAGUCGAGCGAACAGACGAGGAGCUUGCUCCUCUGACGUUAGAGGCGGACGGGUGAGUAACACGUGGAUAACCUACCUAUAAGACAGGGAUAACUUCGGGAAACCGGAGCUAAUACCGGAUAAUAUAUUGAACCGGAUGGUGCAAGAGUGAAAGACGCUAUUGCGGUCAGUAAUAGAUGGAUCCGCGCCGCAUCAGCAAGUUGGUAAGGUGACGGCUUACCAAGGCAACGAUGCGGAGACGACCUGAGAGCGACGUCGCCCAGCCUGGCACUGAGACACGGCCCACACUCCUACGGGGGGCCGCAGCACGGACUCUUCCGCGAUGCACGAGAGCUUGAUGUAGCACCGCCGCGUGAGUCAUGAUGGUCUUCGGCCGGUAGAACUAUGUUAUUCGGGAAGAUCAAAUGUGUAUGUAACUAGGCUCGUAUUGACGGUACCUAAUCAGAAAGCCCCGGCUAACUACGUG
Molecule: ribosomal RNA, 497 nt
Filed under: uncultured bacterium
Lineage: Bacteria
Description: partial 16S ribosomal RNA
Rfam family: Bacterial small subunit ribosomal RNA
Source: RNAcentral